RNAcentral lists this long non-coding RNA (2328 nucleotides) under Olea europaea subsp. europaea. Lineage: Eukaryota; Viridiplantae; Streptophyta; Magnoliopsida; Lamiales; Oleaceae. The record is from RNAcentral.
CAAAAUAUGAAAACACAGAAAACAGCCAUUUUCCUAAAGUUCUUCUUUCUUGAGCUUCCAAUUCGUCGCCUCCUUCCAUCAAAAACAACCAUCACCCGCCACCUAAGCCGUCGGACCACACACCACCGAUACCUCCUCACCUCCCUCUACAACCUCUGACCAUCAUCUGCCCACCGAAUUGUCGAAAACAGCACCAAUUCCUAUCCAAAACUGCGAGCGCAGUCAUGAUUUUUUCCCAGUUACUUCCACAUCCGACCACCCUCUCGAUCGUGGAGCACCACCACAACAUUCCUCUCAACCAGGCGCAUUUAGUUCUACCACGGGUCACCCUCAAUUUCGUUCGGGAAUCAGCUUAGCUUGUUGGAGCAGUCCGUAAGAUUUGUGAAAAUUUGUCUUUUAAUUUCACCUUUUCUUUUAUAGAUUGAGUUUGCAAGUAUCUUAUGUUGAAUUUAAAAAUUUCUUAAUGAGUUUUGCUUUCGCAAUGGCAGCUCUCCAAAUGGCAAAGGACUGUAGGAAGAUGAUUUGGAUCAUUCUACAGAUGAAGCUCUUCUUCGACAGAAAUUGGUAAAGAUGCUUUAUUGUGCCCCAUCUGCAUUUUUUUUAUUGAAGUAAUAAUUGUUAAAGAACUUGUUUAUAUCCGUAAAUAGAUGCUUAGGGUGGGAGGGUGGGGGAAGCUUGGGUUAUCCCUUGUUACAUUCUGAGUAAUGCACUGUCAAAAUACUACAGUUUUGUUAUGAUGUAAGACAUCAUUCAUAUUGGAAGGGCUAUUGAAGAUCCAUGAUGACGUGUGGGAGUUAGAUUAUAGAGGACUGGAAUUGGCCUGGUAGCCAUUCUAUUGAAAGGCUUGCUAUCAAGUUUGUUAGAAUAUUUGAAGGCAAUUUUUUGGGCUGUCUGGUGCGAAGGACAAGACUUGGAAGCCAAUAAUCAUGACAAAAGAGUGAAAUGAACUGGGAAAGUAACAAUAUUAGUACUCUAGAAAUUUGUUUAUCACCUCAGUUUACUGCACAUGUCUUUAGAAAUUGACAAGCUUGCAAGAAAUAUAAUUCGAACUCUUUAGUUGCGAGGAGUAUCAACAAGCUCAGGUUGCCCUUGAAAUUCUCUAGCUCUGUGAAUUAUUGUUCUAAAGUUUAUGCAGUUAAUCAUUUUGCAGCUUGUCUUAUUCUUUGUUUAAAGAACAUGACUCCUUAAUCAAAUGAAGCAUUCUCCUCUGGGGUUGAGUUAUGAAGAAAGAUAAUUUAAAAUUCAGGAGGACUGAAAGUAAAUAUGAGUAAAUUCUGGGAUCUAUCUUGAAUUGUCUAGUAAAAGCUCUAUAUAAGUGGGGGAGUGUAAUGACCAGUUUUGGAUAUGAUACAUGUCAUGGAAGAUAUAAGAAACAUGGAUUUAUCUAAUAUUUGACAGCAAUGUGGAUAGAUUAAGCUUUGUAGUCGUCAAUUGAAGCCUUUAUUAUGGGGCGCUUAUUCAUUUCACAUGAUUUUCUUGUGGUUCUGCAGUUUCUUUGUUCUUUGUUUUUUUGUAACAUUGUCAGUCUUCUUGAUUCAAGGCUCUAUCAAUUUUAGGUUUUCAGCCGUUUGAUCUGCAUUUUCCCCAUUAUAUAUAACCAGCAUUUGCAGUAUCACCAAUUCUUGAUUUCCAAGAGUCAAUGAAAUUUAAGAGUUAAACAGAUCCAUUUCUGAUUUCCCUGCCAGAAGGUUAAUAGGUUAUUCAUUUUUAAUUCUUGGCAAAUUUUGCACCUACUUGUGUAUAAGCAAAAGAGUCGUAAAGUUUUUGCAAUAAGUACGCAUGUGAACUGCCCAUCUACUACAUUCUAAUACCAGUUUAAUAUGUUAAUUGUUGUGCAUUCUUGAAAUAAAAUUAGUCAAUAUCACUUUUCUCUCAUUUAUCAGGAACAUAAGUAUCACUUCUGUAAUGAAGGUAGUGUAAUAAUACUUGAGUUUCCUUUCAUAAAAAGGAUAGUGGUCAAAAAGAAAUUGUGACAUCAUUUUGAAACUGGAAUAAUAUAUUGUAUUUUGCUAUAUGGUGGACUAUUGAACAACAUCUGAAUUAUUUUAUUUUGGUGAAAUUUAUUUUUAUUUUUUUUUCUAUUUUUGGGGUGGUUGUGAAACGUCUUAAUGUCUGUUUUAUACCAUUGGGUUUCCACAUAAUCAUUUGAUGAUUCAUUUAUGCAUGGAUAUCAAUGUGACUAUUCAGUCCAGAGGGCUCAAAGUCUUGCAUAAAGUGAUUUUGUCAUUGCUGGUUUGCUGGUCAUUGUUUAACUAGAAGCAAUGGUCAUUGGGUUUUGAUUUUCACUUUUUUUUUAGCUGCUGGUAGCUGCCCAUUACCAUUCUUUUU